RNAcentral lists this ribosomal RNA (511 nucleotides) under uncultured Actinomycetes bacterium. RNAcentral describes it as "bacterial SSU rRNA". It matches the Rfam family "Bacterial small subunit ribosomal RNA", at positions 355 to 857 of the family's 1533-position model. Lineage: Bacteria; Bacillati; Actinomycetota; Actinomycetes. The record is from RNAcentral.
UGGGGAAUCUUGCGCAAUGCGCGAAAGCGUGACGCAGCAACGCCGCGUGGGGGAAGACGGCCUUCGGGUUGUAAACCCCUUUCAGGAGGGACGAAGGUUCACCGGUGAAUAGCCGUGUGGAUUGACGGUACCUCCAGAAGAAGCUCCGGCUAACUACGUGCCAGCAGCCGCGGUAAUACGUAGGGAGCAAGCGUUGUCCGGAAUCAUUGGGCGUAAAGCGCGCGUAGGCGGCCCUGUAAGUCCGUUGUGAAAGUCAAAGGCUCAACCUUUGAAAGCCGAUGGAUACUGCGGGGCUAGAGUCCGGAAGAGGCGAGUGGAAUUCCUGGUGUAGCGGUGGAAUGCGCAGAUAUCAGGAGGAACACCAAUAGCGAAGGCAGCUCGCUGGGACGGUACUGACGCUAAGGCGCGAAAGCGUGGGGAGCGAACAGGAUUAGAUACCCUGGUAGUCCACGCCGUAAACGAUGGGCACUAGGUGUGGGAGGUGUCGACUCCUCCCGUGCCGUCGCUAACG